This 76-nucleotide transfer RNA is filed under the name Desulfobacteraceae bacterium. RNAcentral's name for it is "tRNA-His". It matches the Rfam family "tRNA". From Rfam's summary of the family: Transfer RNA (tRNA) molecules are approximately 80 nucleotides in length. Their secondary structure includes four short double-helical elements and three loops (D, anti-codon, and T loops). The record is from RNAcentral. Lineage: Bacteria; Pseudomonadati; Thermodesulfobacteriota; Desulfobacteria; Desulfobacterales; Desulfobacteraceae.
GUGGGUGUAGCUCAAUUGGUGGAGCAUCGGGUUGUGGCCUCGAAGGCUGCGGGUUCAAGCCCCGUCACUCACCCCA